GACGUAGGUGGCAAACGUUAUCCGGAAUUAUUGGGCGUAAAGGGUGCGUAGAUGGCAUGAUAAGUUAUUGGUGGUAAAUCGAGGCUCAACCUCGUGGAAGCUGGUAAUACUGUCAUACUUGAGUGCAGAAGAGGUUAACGGAACUCCCUGUGGAGCGGUAAAAUGUGAAGAUAUAGGGAAGAACACCAAUAACGGCGAAGGCAGUUAACUAUUCUGCUACUGACAUUGAGGCACGAAAGCGUGGGGAGCAAAACGG
RNAcentral lists this ribosomal RNA (256 nucleotides) under uncultured bacterium. RNAcentral's name for it is "partial 16S ribosomal RNA". It matches the Rfam family "Bacterial small subunit ribosomal RNA", at positions 524 to 776 of the family's 1533-position model. The record is from RNAcentral.